This 360-nucleotide transfer RNA is filed under the name uncultured Microcystis sp. Its description in RNAcentral is "partial 16S-23S ribosomal RNA intergenic spacer". The stretch from base 134 to 207 matches the Rfam family "tRNA". Lineage: Bacteria; Bacillati; Cyanobacteriota; Cyanophyceae; Chroococcales; Microcystaceae. The record is from RNAcentral.
AAAGGGAGACCUGAUUCAGGUAUAAGACGAAAAAAAAGUAGUCCCUACCAAGAAUCAAUCCCAAAAGGUCGGAACGAGGUAUGAGGCUUUCAAACUAGGUUCUGGGUUCAUAAAAGACCUGAAUCAGGAACAAGGGCUAUUAGCUCAGGUGGUUAGAGCGCACCCCUGAUAAGGGUGAGGUCCCUGGUUCGAGUCCAGGAUGGCCCACCUGCACAGGUGGCAAAAACAAGAGAAGCGAGGAAUCAGCACCUUAUCUUAUAUACAUAUAUAAGAGAGAAUGCUGGCUCUGAGUACAGAGUCCAGAGGAACCUUGAAAACUGCAUAGAGCUAGGUGAAAAAGCCAAAAAAGAAGACCGCAAG